UACGUAGGGUGCAAGCGUUAAUCGGAAUUACUGGGCGUAAAGCGUGCGCAGGCGGUUAUGCAAGACAGAUGUGAAAUCCCCGGGCUUAACCUGGGAACCGCAUUUGUGACUGCAUAGCUGGAGUACGGCAGAGGGGGAUGGAAUUCCGCGUGUAGCAGUGAAAUGCGUAGAUAUGCGGAGGAACACCGAUGACGAAGGCAGUCCCCUGGGCCUGUACUGACGCUCAUGCACGAAAGCGUGGGGAGCAAACAGG
RNAcentral lists this ribosomal RNA (253 nucleotides) under uncultured bacterium. RNAcentral's name for it is "partial 16S ribosomal RNA". It matches the Rfam family "Bacterial small subunit ribosomal RNA", at positions 524 to 776 of the family's 1533-position model. The record is from RNAcentral.